RNAcentral lists this ribosomal RNA (492 nucleotides) under uncultured bacterium. Its description in RNAcentral is "partial 16S ribosomal RNA". It matches the Rfam family "Bacterial small subunit ribosomal RNA", at positions 29 to 507 of the family's 1533-position model. The record is from RNAcentral.
AGUGAACGCUGGCGGUAGGCCUAACACAUGCAAGUCGAACGGCAGCACAGUAAGAGCUUGCUCUUACGGGUGGCGAGUGGCGGACGGGUGAGGAAUACAUCGGAAUCUACUUUUUCGUGGGGGAUAACGUAGGGAAACUUACGCUAAUACCGCAUAUGAUCUACGGGUGAAAGCAGUGGAUCUUCGGACCUUGCGCGAUUGAAUGAGCCGAUGUCGGAUUAGCUAGUUGGCGGGGUAAAGGCCCACCAAGGCGACGAUCCGUAGCUGGUCUGAGAGGAUGAUCAGCCACACUGGAACUGAGACACGGUCCAGACUCCUACGGGAGGCAGCAGUGGGGAAUAUUGGACAAUGGGCGCAAGCCUGAUCCAGCCAUACCGCGUGAGUGAAGAAGGCCUUCGGGUUGUAAAGCCCUUUUGUUGGGAAAGAAAAGCAGCAGGUUAAUACCCCGCUGUUUUGACGGUACCCAAAGAAUAAGCACCGGCUAACUUCGUG